UGUGUUGUUUUCAACGCAGAGAUUGUCCAGGCGCCGGAUCUGAGACAGUACUUAUCACAUCGGUACGACUGGGUCUCAGCCGGUCAGCUCAUGGGUGGAACAUUGACAUUGGUGCGGAGCCGAACGGCUCGAACUUAGUACGCCUGCUUGCAGGAAGGAACAGUUCGGACCGGGGAGCCUCGCACAUGCACGCUGUUGGGUCCUGAGGGACCGGACCUCAUCGCUGUGUCUUCAAGACGCUGAGAUGAGAACCGAAUCCUCUGGACCUUUUUUGGUCGGCCAUAACUGGGCCGGCGGAAAAGGUACCGCCCGUACUUUGAGAACUACACAGUGGACGCGAGCAUCUUAGAUUCGGACCUUCGGGUUCGGAUCACAAAAGAUGAUCAUAGUACUUUCGAGUACUGAUUAGAUCAUUGGUCAAUCUGCUCACUUCGGUGAGCCGAUCGAUUCAAACUCAUGUGAU
RNAcentral lists this unclassified non-coding RNA (463 nucleotides) under uncultured Leifsonia sp. Its description in RNAcentral is "partial 16S-23S ribosomal RNA intergenic spacer". The record is from RNAcentral. Lineage: Bacteria; Bacillati; Actinomycetota; Actinomycetes; Micrococcales; Microbacteriaceae.